This 997-nucleotide ribosomal RNA is filed under the name uncultured bacterium. RNAcentral's name for it is "bacterial SSU rRNA". It matches the Rfam family "Bacterial small subunit ribosomal RNA", at positions 355 to 1375 of the family's 1533-position model. The record is from RNAcentral.
UGGGGAAUAUUGCACAAUGGGGGGAACCCUGAUGCAGCGAUGCCGCGUGGAGGAAGAAGGUUUUCGGAUUGUAAACUCCUUUUAACAGGGACGAUAAUGACGGUACCUGAAGAAAAAGCUCCGGCUAACUACGUGCCAGCAGCCGCGGUAAUACGUAGGGAGCGAGCGUUGUCCGGAAUUACUGGGUGUAAAGGGAGCGUAGGCGGGACGGUAAGUCAGGUGUGAAAUAUACGUGCUCAACAUGUAGACUGCACUUGAAACUGCUGUUCUUGAGUGAAGUAGAGGUAAGCGGAAUUCCUAGUGUAGCGGUGAAAUGCGUAGAUAUUAGGAGGAACAUCGGUGGCGAAGGCGGCUUACUGGGCUUUUACUGACGCUGAGGCUCGAAAGCGUGGGGAGCAAACAGGAUUAGAUACCCUGGUAGUCCACGCUGUAAACGAUGAUUACUAGGUGUGGGGGGACUGACCCCUUCCGUGCCGCAGUUAACACAAUAAGUAAUCCACCUGGGGAGUACGACCGCAAGGUUGAAACUCAAAGGAAUUGACGGGGGCCCGCACAAGCAGUGGAGUAUGUGGUUUAAUUCGAAGCAACGCGAAGAACCUUACCAGGUCUUGACAUCGUAUGCAUAGUCUAGAGAUAGAUGAAAUCCCUUCGGGGACAUAUAGACAGGUGGUGCAUGGUUGUCGUCAGCUCGUGUCGUGAGAUGUUGGGUUAAGUCCCGCAACGAGCGCAACCCUUACCUUUAGUUGCUACGCAAGAGCACUCUAGAGGGACUGCCGUUGACAAAACGGAGGAAGGUGGGGAUGACGUCAAAUCAUCAUGCCCCUUAUGACCUGGGCUACACACGUACUACAAUGGCAAUUAACAGAGGGAAGCAAAACAGCGAUGUGGAGCAAAUCCCGAAAAAUUGUCUCAGUUCAGAUUGCAGGCUGCAACUCGCCUGCAUGAAGUCGGAAUUGCUAGUAAUCGCAGAUCAGAAUGCUGCGGUGAAUACGUUCCC